GUGUCAGCCGCCGCGGUAAUACGGAGGGUGCGAGCGUUGUCCGGAAUCACUGGGCGUAAAGGGCGCGUAGGUGGCCGAGCAAGGUCGCGGUGAAAGCCCGGGGCUCAACCCCGGGUCGGCCGUGGCAACUACUUGGCUUGAGCACUGUAGGGGCGGGUGGAAUUCCGGGUGUAGCGGUGGAAUGCGUAGAGAUCCGGAAGAACACCGGUGGCGAAGGCGGCCCGCUGGGCAGGAAGGCAGAGCAAUCUGCCGGCUGACACUGAGGCGCGACAGCGUGGGGAGCAAACAGGAUUAGAAACCCUCGUAGUCC
Molecule: ribosomal RNA, 310 nt
Filed under: uncultured bacterium
Lineage: Bacteria
Description: bacterial SSU rRNA
Rfam family: Bacterial small subunit ribosomal RNA
Source: RNAcentral